Molecule: ribosomal RNA, 467 nt
Filed under: uncultured bacterium
Lineage: Bacteria
Description: partial 16S ribosomal RNA
Rfam family: Bacterial small subunit ribosomal RNA
Source: RNAcentral
GACGAACGCUGGCGGCGUGCUUAACACAUGCAAGUCGAACGGAAAGGCCCUGCUUUUGUGGGGUGCUCGAGUGGCGAACGGGUGAGUAACACGUGAGUAACCUGCCCUUGACUUUGGGAUAACUUCAGGAAACUGGGGCUAAUACCGGAUAGGAGCUCCUGCUGCAUGGUGGGGGUUGGAAAGUUUCGGCGGUUGGGGAUGGACUCGCGGCUUAUCAGCUUGUUGGUGGGGUAGUGGCUUACCAAGGCUUUGACGGGUAGCCGGCCUGAGAGGGUGACCGGCCACAUUGGGACUGAGAUACGGCCCAGACUCAUACGGGAGGCAGGAGUGGGGAAUAUUGCACAAUGGGCGGAAGCCUGAUGCAGCAACGCCGCGUGCGGGAUGACGGCCUUCGGGUUGUAAACCGCUUUCGCCUGUGACGAAGCGUGAGUGACGGUAAUGAGUAAAGAAGCACCGGCUAACUACGU